This is a long non-coding RNA of Anarrhichthys ocellatus (wolf-eel), 478 nucleotides long. RefSeq lists it as uncharacterized. Lineage: Eukaryota; Metazoa; Chordata; Actinopteri; Perciformes; Anarhichadidae. The transcript has 3 exons. The record is from RefSeq and is a predicted model, not a curated record.
AGUGCACUUCCAGUUGUGGGUUCCGUUUCAGGGAUCGUCGUUAACUAACCGAAAGAAAAGGACGACAACGUUCAAAUCUCGGUGAGUCUACCUGUCGGUAUCUGGUGGACAUGAGUCCUGAUUGGAUGAGAUCCUAGCGUCUAGAACCAGGUGUUCUACCAUCAGAGGACAUCAUGGAGGAUCCGUUAGCAGAUAGUCCCUGUUCGUCUGAGCCGGACAGUCCUGGAGGUCUGAACCGAGGCCUCUUGGAUCCAUCUGAGGUCCUCUACCAAGAUCUCUCCAUCCUGGUCCCAGAGACACCCAGCCCACAGCUCGGCAAGCGGAGGCGACGCGCUCGCGUCUCAGAGGAACCUCUCAGUCCUGUAAGUGUGAACACAUUGUCCUCUCGUCUUCAGCUCCGUCCAGAUGCUGACGUCUGUGUCUGUCUGUCUCUGUGUGUGUGUGUCUGUCUGUGUUUGUGUGUGUGUCUGUCUGUGUC